Molecule: small nuclear RNA, 105 nt
Organism: Otolemur garnettii (small-eared galago)
Lineage: Eukaryota; Metazoa; Chordata; Mammalia; Primates; Galagidae
Source: Ensembl
GUGCUUACUUCGACAGCACAUAUACUAAAAUUGUGACAGAGUGUGACAGAGAAGAUUAGCAUGGCCUUUGCACAAGGAUGACAUGGGAAGACACAACUCAUGUUU